RNAcentral lists this ribosomal RNA (420 nucleotides) under uncultured bacterium. Its description in RNAcentral is "bacterial SSU rRNA". It matches the Rfam family "Bacterial small subunit ribosomal RNA", at positions 355 to 774 of the family's 1533-position model. The record is from RNAcentral.
UAAGGAAUAUUGCUCAAUGGGAGAAAUCCUGAAGCAGCAACGCCGCGUGGAGGAUGAAGGGUCUAUGACUUGUAAACUCCUGUAAAGAAGGAAAAAAUUCCCAUUUGAUGGGAGAUGAUGGUACUUCUGGAGUAAGCCCCGGCUAACUACGUGCCAGCAGCCGCGGUAAUACGUAGGGGGCAAGCGUUGUCCGGAUUUACUGGGUGUAAAGGGUGCUCAGGCGGAUUUGUAAGUCAGAGGUGAAAUCUUACAGCUUAACUGUGAAACUGCCUUUGAUACUGCAAGCCUAGAGUAUGGAAGAGAGUGAUGGAAUAUCUGGUGUAGCAGUGAAAUGCGUAGAUAUCAGAUAGAACACCAAUGGCGAAGGCAGUCACUUGGUCCAUUACUGACGCUAAAGCACGAAAGUGUGGGUAGCAAACA